This is an RNA transcript of Marmota monax (woodchuck), 5801 nucleotides long. It is a transcript of the gene named GTP binding protein 8 (putative), with no coding region annotated. The record is from RefSeq and is a predicted model, not a curated record. NCBI's taxonomy places the organism in Eukaryota, Metazoa, Chordata, Mammalia, Rodentia, Sciuridae. The transcript has 7 exons.
UCUGGGAAAGAAAAAUGGCUGCGCCCUGCCUACGGCUUGGAAUGAAGCAGCUCUUUAAGAUGCCGGCGGCAAUGGGGCACCAAGGCCGAGCUUACAGCACGUCCCAGACUUUUGCUGAGGUACUACGGCUGCCGAAGAAGCAGCUGACCAAGCUAGUGUACCCACUACAGGAACUCGAGCAGCACCUUGUUCCGGACUCAAUGCCCGACCUUCACCUGAGGGUCUUCGACCCUAGCCUGGAGGAUAUCUCGAGAGCGGAGAGUGUUUUCGCUUCCUCCGCCCGGAACCGUAUUGAGUACAUCAGUUCCGCUGUGCGGCUAGAUCACGCUCCGGACCUCUCCCGACCUGAGGUAUGUUUUAUAGGCAGAAGCAAUGUUGGAAAAUCGUCCCUAAUAAAGGCUUUAUUUUCAUUGGCCCCGGAGGUUGAAGUUAGAGUCUCCAAAAAACCGGGUCAUACAAAGAAAAUGAAUUUUUUCAAAGUUGGAAAGUAUUUUACAGUGGUGGACAUGCCAGGUUAUGGCUAUAGAGCACCAGAAGAUUUUGUUGACAUGGUAGAGGCCUAUCUAAAAGAACGAAGGAAUUUGAAGAGAACAUUUUUAUUAGUGGAUAGUGCCGUUGGAAUUACAAAAACAGACAAUAUUGCCAUAGAAAUGUGUGAAGAAUUUGCAUUACCUUAUGUGAUGGUAUUAACAAAAAUUGACAAAUCUUCCAAAGGACAUCUUUUAAAACAAGUACUUCAGAUCCAGAAAUUUGUCAACACUCAAACACAAGGAUGUUUUCCUCAAUUGUUUCCUGUAAGGGCAAUUUUGGUCACUCUGCAUCAGAGGAAGAGCACUCUGAAGAACAGAUUUGAGAGGGAAGAGGCUGGAGACAUGGAGACUAAAGAGUCUAUCGCAAAUGCUGAGGAUAGAAAUGAGGAAAGCCUGAACCUUCAAGCACUGGUGCUGGAGACUGAGAGUGUAACUUAGGUAGAGGUCUAGUAUUUAGAUUUUUACCUGUCUAGGGUGUUUUCUAGAUUUUCACCUUGCAUCUGAAAUAUAGCAUUCAGAAGAAGAACCAAAUUAGAUAGGUGGCAGGAAUAAUGAGAUAACUAUUGAUAUCCUGAAUUUGAGAUGACCCAUUGGCUGUUCACAAGAAAAUGUCCAAUUCACAAAUUAAAUAAAUAGCUGCAGUGUGAUUACAGAGGGAGAAAAUGGAAAUAAUGACUUUGAGAUAAUAUGUUUUAGAAGCCUAAAUGAGAAGGGAAGGCAGAGUUUAUGUGGUAACAGAGAGAAUCAAGAAGGGUAUUGUUUUCCUUUUUUCAGAUUUUUAAAGAUGAUGUGUUCAUCAGGGGUCCACCAGUCAAGCAAAAAUAGUAGCAUAUGAAGGUAUUUGUUAAAGAAAUUGGCUUAUGUGAUUGUGGGGAUUGGAUAGGAAAGUCCAAAAUAUGUAUAGCAGACUUGAAACUCUCAGGCAGAAACUGAAGGAGCAGUCCAUAGUGGAAUUUCAUCUUCUUCCUUCUUGUCUUUAGGGAAACCUGUUUUAAGUCCUUUCAACUAAUUGAAUCAGGCUCACUCAAAUUACUUGGGGUACUCUCCUUUGCAUAAAGUCAACAAAUUGUGGAUGUUAAUCACAUCUACAGAAUACUUUCACAGCAACACUUAGAUUAGUGUUUGGUUGAAUAACUAGGUACUGUGUAACCUAGCCAAGUUGAUUCAUGAAACUGGCCAUUGCAAAUGGAAAAUCACUUGAUCGUAUACAUGCUAAGAAGAAGGAAACAAAAAAGAGUAAGAAAAGCUGGACAUACUCAAGAGACAAAAGGAAGAUAAUUGAUGGACAAGACCCAUUCCAUUACUCAUUCAACAAAGUAUUUGACUAGCACCAUAUCAAGUACCAGAGGUGACAACAGGAAUGUAUCGAGUGCUUAAGUAAAGGGAUUGACUUGUCUAUCAAAGAACCUUUAGUAUCUGAGCCAGGAGGAAAAAUAAAGAUAGCCAUAGAUAUGGAUAUGUUUUGAAUGCAGUAAUAGAAAGAUGAGGGAGCCUAAAAAUGAGAGCCUUUGUAUUAGUAGAGGAGGAUUUGAGAUCAUUACCAAGAGUAGAAGAUAGGGAUGUUAUUCUGGAUGAAUAAUGGAGGGAAAUCAGAACUUUCUUGAACUGGGGUAUAUGGAAGGAAUGCAGGCUGUGUACAUAAGGAAGUCAGGUUUUAAGGCCAUGCUUUAAAUUUCCUGUACGAUGAAGAAAGACUGUCACAGAUGCAAAUGACCAAUAACUAUCAAAACUUUGUCCACCUCAUUAUCCAAGAAACACAAAUAAAAUAAUUUUGAGGUACUAUCAUAUAGACAAAGUAAAAAGUGUGAUGGACGUCUUGUUACUAGGUCUUUCCCAAAAAAUUUAGACUCGAAGUUAUCCUUCAUUGUUGUAAUCCUAAAAAUUGAAAAUGAUUUUGUAUCCACACAGUGAAUCUGUUCUAAAAUUUAGGCAGUGUAAUUACCCCCUACACACACACACACACACACACACAAAUCUUACAAGGAAAUCAAAUGCAUAAAAUAAAUACAUAAAACUGGAAUUGCACUUGUUAAGAAGCAUGGUAGAAUGCAGGGUUGUCCCAUUAAAGCCUCCUGCCCCAGGCCCCUAGAGGCAGAUCACAAGAAACUUUAGUGAGGUAGCUCUGGGAGAUAGAUUUAAAAAAAAAAAAAAGACCUUUAGUAGCUGGAGACCAGGAUUUAUGAGCAUGACUAGUCAUGCUUGUCUCUUUAGUUAGAUGAACAUAAUUUCCAGCAUAUGCUUGCAACAGAUCAACUAGAACAAAAAUAUAAUUUAAAUGCCACCAGAUUCAAAGACUUACACAAUGUACCCACAAAUGAUUUGCAGCUAGACUGUUUGACUAAAAAGACAUUCUGAAAUAUAGAAUGAUCAUCAUGGGUUGAUUUUCAAAGAAACUUGUCUGAGAACCUGCACAUUUCUUCCCAGAAAAGUUCUAUAUAUAAUCAGAGAGCUCAGUCAUGGGUGUGUCACUCAUCUUCUCUAAGAGGUGAGGGGCACCUGCACCCUACCUUCGGGUGUGUACACCUUUGCUGCCCUUAAAUAAAUGUUUGCUUGUGCCUUGCUUCCGAAGUGCCCUGAAAUUCUCUUCUGCGAUGAAAGUGAAGAACUUACCGGGCUGAGUUAAAGUCCAUUUCUUCUCUUUGGAGGGACGUCCUUACCCCCCACCCUCACCCCCUUCAGUGAUAAUUCCAUGAAAAAAAAAAAUAUGUAUCUACACAUUGAAGAGAGGAUCUGGGGGAUCCUAACAAAACCAUGAUAACUUUUCCAACAAUAGGGUAUAUCUUUCCUUCUAUGAACUUAUUUGUAUCUUCCAUUUUACAAGAAAAAUAGAAAUGUUGCUGUUAUAGUGAAAAAAAAAAACAACCUUAUUUUCAAUGCCAAAAUACUGUGCGCCAAAGUCUUAAGGUGUGUGUGUUUGUGCAUGUGUGAGCAUGUGUAUAUGCACCAAUAUAUUCAGAUAUACUUUUUGGCCCAUUCACCUAUGGCCUUUGAACUUCAAUCUGGUGCUUCAAACUGCUCUGUGAUGCUGGGACUGGGACUCUGCAAACUACUUUCUUUGCCAGUUGUUGUUAUUCCAAUACAGGCCACUAGAGGGAGGUUGAAGGCAGGAGGAGGAGAACUUACUUCUAAUGGUGUUGCCCACCAACAACCACUCUUCAGCCCAGAAAUGUUGAAAGAUAACCCUACGGGAAUCUUGGGAUUAUCCCAAUAUACAUGAAAUAAGAGUUGAAGAAAAGGAAGAGGUUGGGAAAGAGAAAGGAGAAAUGAGCUGCCAGCAAACAGAGAAAGGUGAGAUUGAAGCUUCAACUGCUAAGACAGACUCUCAUAGCUCCAUUCAUUUAAUUUAUCUUUCAUUUAUAAAUCUAGAUUCACAUUUUAGUAGACACGAAUAGCUUGAAGCGAACUUAUUCCCAUGAGCCUUUGCACUGACACCUUAAGUUCUGUUAUGGCUUGUUCAAUACGCAUUGUUUCCACCAGAGAGCAGCAGGAAGCUGUACACAUACUACCCUUUAAAUUGGUCACUGAAGCCACCAAGAGAAACCUGAUAAUCCCAGCUUCACAAACCCAAACAGAAUGGAGACAAAUCGAUUUAUACUUGGCAGAUGAGAUUCAGAUAAUCAAAGAAAUGUCUCCCAGGCAAAGUAGAAGCACAUGAUUUCCAGGCUUGGCCCCUGAAGAGGAGGCAAGUCAUGUGAUUUGAAGGCCUAGUUUUGGAUGGGGGUAGCAUAACCUAAAUUCAUUCUCAAGGAGCAGAAUCACCUGAUCCUGGAAAUGGCUAGGCUAAAAAGAAAAGAAAAAGAAAAAAGGAAAAAGCUGAUAAUCAGAUAAUUGGAUGUAUUUUCUCCACAUUAAAGACUAAAUGCCCAAAAAUUGGACUUGGAGAAAAUGGAAUCAUUAUUUCUCCUCUUUUAUAGCCUUGAGGCAAAAUUUCCAAGUCAAAUUUAUAAGGUGUACAGGGAUUUGGUUGCUUGUUUUGCUUUCUUCUCUCUUGCCAGUUACCUCCUGAGAGCUGGGCACGGAUCAGUGAGGUCCCUCCAUCAAGGCUGCCAGCAAGUCUGUGCCUGAUUUGGUGAGUUUCAGAAAAGGUACAAGUACUUCCUCCCACCAGGGCCUCUAAUGGAACGUAACACCUUAGAACUGUGCCAAGGGAAAGAGCCAAGCCACGUUUCAGUGUCUGCUGCUAAAGCGAGGAACCAUCUUUUCUGCCCAAGAAGCUGUUACUGGAAUCUUUAAAGUGCUGGAUUUAGAGUGCUGGUCAAGAAAGAUAGUCUGUAUACACCCAACAUUUCUAAGAUAUCCUUUAUCUGUACAAUUACACACACACACACACACACACACACACACGCUAAGAAACAGAAUUAGGAGAGUCAUGUUCCUAGAAGCUUUCUCUUUAAACCAGUAUUUAUUGCUAUCUAUUCUCAUAAAAUAUACCAUGGGAGAUGCUGGCAUAGCAAGAAUUUUGCCUCAGUAGUACAUAAGAAAACACGAUCAAAGCAGUGCGCAGAUAUAUUCAAAUAGUGACAAGGAACUACAGUGUAAUUAAGCCAGUAUGUAGGGUCACAUCUAAAAUUUAAAAUGAAGGGUAUUACCUCCAACAGAGGAUUAAUAUUCAGAAUAUAUAAAGAACUCAAAACCUUAAGACUAUAAAAACAAAUAACCCAGUCAUAAAUUGGCAAAAGAACUAAACAGACACUUCUUAAAAGAAGAAAUACAAAUGGCCAACAAAUAUGUGAAAAACAAUUCAAAAUCCCUGGCAACCAGGGAAAUACUAAUCAAAACUAAACUGAGAUUUCAUCUUACUUGUUGGCAGGACUGCAAAUUAAUACAAUCACUCUGGAAAGCAGUAUGGAUAUUAUUCAAAAGAAUAGGAAUAUAAACACCAUGUGAUCCUGUUAUACCACUCCUUGGUAUUUAUCCAAAAGAACUGAUCAGUAUAUCACAGAGAUAUGGGCACAUAUAUGUUUAUAAUAGCACAGUUCACAAUAGCCCAGUUAGGGAACCAGCCCAGAUGCUCCACCAACAGAUGAAUGGAUUUUUUUUUAAUGUGGUAUAUACACACAAUGGAGUUUUACUCAACCAUGAAGAAGAAUGAAAUUAUGGCAUUUGCUGGUAAAUGAAUGGAACUGGAGAACAUCAUGCUAAGUGAAAUAAGCCAGCCUCAGAAAGUUAAAGAUUGAAUGUUUUCUCUCAUAUGUGGAAGCUAGAGAAAAGUAAGGGGAAAAAAAUCAGGGAAUACCAUGAAAAUAGGCAGAAGAUCAGUGCAGUACAGGA